Molecule: long non-coding RNA, 900 nt
Filed under: Sparus aurata (gilthead seabream)
Lineage: Eukaryota; Metazoa; Chordata; Actinopteri; Spariformes; Sparidae
Description: lncRNA (ENSSAUG00010012822.1)
Source: RNAcentral
GCAGAACUCUUGUAAUUGAUAAUGACAAUCAGGAAGAAACAGGAGAAAAUAACACGCACAACGUUUGAUUCAGGCGAUCAAAUAGAUAAAAGGAAGUCCAGAGGCCGUGUGUGCGUCAGCGGUUACUGAGGAAACGAAACAGCCCGCAUUAUGUCCCAGCACAUGUUAAUAUUUUACAGCGUGAACAAGCUUCCUCAUUCUGGCCUCCUCUUAACACUUUUUUUUCCCCACAGAUGCAAAUAAAAUUGAAAUCAGCCUGGCUAUGUUGUGCUCUUCGAAAGAAGCCCUCCUCUGUGACAAGGCCACCACGAGGGACCGUGUGUUUGAGCAGCUGCAAAAACAUUUCCACAACAAGCUGCAGAACUUUGUUCUCUGGGAACUUAAGAAGCCAAACUAAGCGACACCAGACACAUCAUGUUUUUACUUUUUUUGAUUUUACUUUGGUGUUUUGUGAUUUUAAAUAGAGUGAUGGGAUCUGAUAAUGUAAAUGUAGACUAUACUUACACUAGAAUAUAAUUUUAAUCUGUGCUGCUUACUCUUUUUAAAAGAGUGAAUUUUGUAAAAAGGUUUUCCUUGAUUUUGUUUGCCAUGUAUGGCCCAUUCCCUCCAGGAAGAGAAAAGAGGAAAGAGAAAUAGAAAGUUUAGUCAUGGAACAAUGAAAUAUAGUCAUGGAUUAUGAAUUAUGAGAAACAAAAACAGAGUAAGUUAGGAGAUCUACAAGAAAGAAAGUAAAAAGUUACAGUUUGCAUUUUGGUUUUUAAUGUUGAACUUUGUAUUUAUUUUGUAAACUGGCUUCCAGAUAUGUGUCUGAUGAUGAAACUAAAUAAAAACAAAACAACAUGUGAAAAUAAUCUUGUAUUCCUUCUGACUAUACACCACAGCGAGCUUCUUGGCAGUUAU